RNAcentral lists this unclassified non-coding RNA (278 nucleotides) under uncultured fungus. RNAcentral's name for it is "partial contains 5.8S ribosomal RNA, internal transcribed spacer 2, and large subunit ribosomal RNA". The record is from RNAcentral. Lineage: Eukaryota; Fungi.
AACGCACAUUGCGCCCUUUGGCAUUCCGAAGGGCAUGCCUGUUCGAGCGUCAUUAUCACCCCUCAAGCCCCCGGCUUGGUGUUGGAUGGUCGGUGGGACCCCUCGGGUUCCACCCCUCCCAAAGACAAUGACGGCGGCCUCGUUGGACCCCCGGUACACUGAGUUCUUCACCGAACACGUACUGGAAUAAGGGCCCGCGGGGCACGGUCUGCCUCCCCUCAGGGAGAAUUUUUAAUAAGGUUGACCUCGGAUCAGAUAGGGAUACCCGCUGAACUUAA